UGUUUUUUAUUCUCUGUAUAUUUAACCAAAAUAGUUAAAUAUUGAUCUAUAAUCAAGGCCUAGUUUGUUGUGAAAGUCACUGUCACAGUCCGGUGUUAAUUGCCUUAAUAUAAUUGUGUUUCCAGUAAAAUACUUUAUUAGAAUGUAAACUGAUAAAAUUAGUAAGUAUAUGUCAAAUUGUAGCACUAUAAAUUACAAUAAAAAUUCGGCAAAAUUACCAGUAGUUUUAACGACCUCCUGAAGACAAUGAUUAAAUACGUAAUUCUCGCCGCAGUUUUGACAUAUGUUUCAACUGCUCCUCCAUCUCCGCCCUCUCCACAUUAUCCGCCACCUCGUCCAGCAGUUCAUGGACCUACAAUUGUAGUUAAGCCUGUAGUGGUUCGGCCUGCAGUUGUCAGACCUCCACCUCCUCCAGUCGUCAAACCUGUAGUUGUAGCUGUAGCUCCUGUUAAGGUUGGACCUCCACAUCCACCACCACCACCACAUCAUCAUCAUCAUUAAUUUAAAUUAUUAUUGUGAAUAUUGAUUUGAAAAUGAAAUAAACAGUUAUGUUACGAUUAUG
Molecule: long non-coding RNA, 562 nt
Organism: Aethina tumida (small hive beetle)
Lineage: Eukaryota; Metazoa; Arthropoda; Insecta; Coleoptera; Nitidulidae
Exons: 2
Source: RefSeq, a predicted model, not a curated record